UGCAAGUCGAGGGGAAACGGCAUUGAGUGCUUGCACUGAAUGGACGUCGACCGGCGCACGGGUGAGUAACGCGUAUCCAACCUUCCCGUUACUGCGGGAUAACCUGCCGAAAGGCAGACUAAUACCGCAUGUUCUUCGAUGACGGCAUCAGAUUCGAAGCAAAGAUCCGUCGGUAACGGAGGGGGAUGCGUCUGAUUAGCUAGUUGGCGGGGCGACGGCCCACCAAGGCGACGAUCAGUAGGGGUUCUGAGAGGAAGGUCCCCCACAUUGGAACUGAGACACGGUCCAAACUCCUACGGGAGGCAGCAGUGAGGAAUAUUGGUCAAUGGGCGGAAGCCUGAACCAGCCAAGUAGCGUGCAGGAUGACGGCCCUACGGGUUGUAAACUGCUUUUAUGCGGGGAUAAAGUGAGGGACGCGUCCCUUUUUGCAGGUACCGCAUGAAUAAGGACCGGCUAAUUCCGUGCCAGCAGCCGCGGUAAUACGGAAGGUCCGGGCGUUAUCCGGAUUUAUUGGGUUUAAAGGGA
RNAcentral lists this ribosomal RNA (525 nucleotides) under uncultured Prevotella sp. RNAcentral's name for it is "bacterial SSU rRNA". It matches the Rfam family "Bacterial small subunit ribosomal RNA", at positions 56 to 568 of the family's 1533-position model. Lineage: Bacteria; Pseudomonadati; Bacteroidota; Bacteroidia; Bacteroidales; Prevotellaceae. The record is from RNAcentral.